Jatropha curcas is the source of this 1957-nucleotide non-coding RNA. The record is from RefSeq and is a predicted model, not a curated record. NCBI's taxonomy places the organism in Eukaryota, Viridiplantae, Streptophyta, Magnoliopsida, Malpighiales, Euphorbiaceae.
AAAAAAACAAAACAACAAUCGCUGGUUCGGCAAGCGGACGCUGUGGUCAUGAUUUCUUUGUCUACCGUACCGGCCCCCAACCUCCGUCCAACCCCGCUACUCUCUUCCCUUUCCCAACCUAAGCUUAAUCCUCCUAACGCCAACUAUAUCCGCUUAUCCAACCAAGUCCCUCCCGAAACAGACUCCGAGCCUCAGCCUCAGCCUCAGCCUCGGAAGCUGAAGGGCAGCUCUCAGCUCAACCGUUGGUCUAGGGCUCGAGCAAUCCGGUCUGGCCGUAAAUUGGACCUUCCGGGUCUGCGGACCCGAGUGGCGCAGCUUAAUCCUCCUGCACAACAAUCCAGAGAAGGCGAAUUGAAGGAGACUAGUCCUGUUACAACAGGAAAUAGAGAUGAUGAAGCCGCGGAGCUCACAACUGGGAAGUCCAUUUAUAUGGUCUCUGACGGAACCGGAUGGACCGCGGAGCACUCCGUUAACGCUGCCUUGGGGCAGUUCGAUUACUGCUUGGUCGAUCGUGGUUGUCCUGUAAACACCCACCUGUUUUCCGGGAUUGAUGAUGCAGAAAGGUUAAUGGAGAUUAUAAAACAAGCUGCUAAAGAAGGUGCAAUUGUAGUCUAUACUCUUGCUGAUCCAUCCAUGGCUGAAUCAGCUAGACAAGCCUGCAAGUUAUGGGGAAUACCAUCUACCGACAUUCUGGGUCCAAUAACAGAGGCAAUAGCUUCUCAUUUAGGCGUCUCGCCCUCUGGUCUUCCCCGUGGAGCUCCUGGGAGGCAGUUUCCCCUUUCUGAUGAGUACUUUCGACGGAUUGAAGCAAUUGAAUUCACCAUCAAGCAAGAUGAUGGUGCCCUGCCGCAGAACUUGUACAAAGCUGACAUUGUUCUUGCUGGUGUUUCUCGUACUGGAAAGACACCAUUGUCUAUUUAUCUGGCACAGAAAGGAUACAAAGUGGCAAAUGUGCCUAUUGUGAUGGGUGUCGAAUUGCCAAAUGGCCUUUUUGAGGUUGACCCAGAGAAAGUUUUUGGUUUGACCAUAAAUCCUGUGGUUCUACACACCAUUAGAAAAGCUAGAGCUAAGAGUCUUGGGUUCAGCCAAGAUGUAAGAAGUAAUUAUUCUGAGAUGGAUCAUGUGAGAGAAGAGUUGGAAUUCGCUCGCAGGGUUUUUGCACAGAAUCCUGUUUGGCCAGUGAUUGAAGUGACAGGAAAAGCAAUUGAAGAAACUGCAGCAGUUAUAUUAAGACUUCACCAUGAUCGGAAGCACAAAUGUUCAAUGCCACGAAUCUCAAAACUUUACUAAUAUGGAAAGUCUUAUUCUCAGCUCAAGCUUGAGUGGCUGAAACAGUAUGACAUGGAGGAUGCAUCAAGCUGUUGCAGGAUAGUCUCACAUCUUCUGGUAAAAAGGUUAGAGCUUGUGCUGGUGUAGCGCACACGAGCAUGAGCGCAUAUGAAAAUCUCAUUAUUGGAGCACUGUCUGCAUCUUUGUUUCACUGACAUGAAAACCAUACAACAAAAGGGCCUAUCUAAGUGGGACUGCCAACAGAACAAACAGAAUUUUAAGGUUGAAAGGCAUAAGAACUUACAGGGUGGCAAAAAAGAAAAGAAUCCUUUUGGGAUCAAUCGCCCAUGAAAAUGGAGGACGCUUGAAACUGUUUCUCCUGCCGAUGUAUCUGCUUUCUGUAGAAGCAUUCAUAUUGCCGGUAGUAUUGAUGGUGAUCUGAUGAUGAACUUGUGGGCUACCGGAAUAAUCAGUGGUCCCAGCCGCUACCAGCAAGCUUUUUUCAGUCAUGUUAGGCCCUACUCAAAAGCAAUUCCAGAUUAACUAGCAUUAUUAUUUCACCAUCUAUUUUCCAAUAAUUCAAUUGCACAUGUCUUCGGUUAAAGUACACCAUCAAAAUGAAUAAUCCUUAAACUGUACUUUGCAAUUCAGCAAUUUGAUCAUUGUUUGUCCGGUGGUAGUAGUAGAA